AAGUCGUAACAAGGUUUCCGUAGGUGAACCUGCGGAAGGAUCAUUAAAGAAUGUAACCUCUUUUGGUGCAAUCUUCUCAUCCCUUUGUCUACUUACUCUGUUGCUUCCAUGGUGCCCGCUAGUUUUAGCUCUGGACAGAUGCUUAAUCUCUUCUGUUUGGAAGUGCCCAUGGGUCUUUUUUAAAAAUAAACUCUUUAUGUGAUAAAAGUCUGAAAUUAAUAUACAAUAUAAAAACUUUCAACAACGGAUCUCUAGGCUCUU
This 261-nucleotide unclassified non-coding RNA is filed under the name fungal sp. Its description in RNAcentral is "partial internal transcribed spacer region". The stretch from base 1 to 46 matches the Rfam family "Eukaryotic small subunit ribosomal RNA", at positions 1786 to 1831 of the family's 1831-position model. Lineage: Eukaryota; Fungi. The record is from RNAcentral.